Lactuca sativa (garden lettuce) is the source of this 1582-nucleotide non-coding RNA. The record is from RefSeq and is a predicted model, not a curated record. Lineage: Eukaryota; Viridiplantae; Streptophyta; Magnoliopsida; Asterales; Asteraceae.
UUCUAUUGUUUGGUCAGAGUGUUUUACAAUCGACGCGCCACUCUUCAAACACGACGCAGCACACUUUCUUCUCCCUUCUCUGUAAAAAAUUAUAGCAACCGCCGGCUCUGUACCCUUUUCCCAUUGCAUCAACGCCAUGUCUCAAGGAGUCUAUAGCGGCGGAGACGGUGACGGCGGCGGAAACACUCAUGGGGCAAUCUCUAAGUUAUACUUUUGUUACCAGUGUGAACGCACGGUCUCUAUUAGACCUUCACCUACCGACUCAUCCGAACUCUUUUGCCCCGAUUGUAGUGGUGGCUUCCUUGAAGAAUACGAAAACCCUAACCCUAGCCCAACGACGCAAAAUCCGUUUCUCGCCUUUGAUGAUGAUGCCUCUCCUUUUGCUCCUUUCUCCAGUGGGUUUCCCCUUGUAUUCUCCACUACAUCCCGUGGCUCCGGCGCGGCUACUGGCGAUUUUCAGAAUCCGACGGAUCUCUCUGCUCUCUUUGGCGGUCCUCUUUCACGAUCUGGAGGCUUCCAGAACCCUGGUGAGUUCAAUCCUUUUGCAUUCCUUCAGAAUUAUCUCAGCACUCUACGAGCAGGUGGCGCCAACAUCCAGUUUGUUAUUGAAAACAAUAGUGAUGGUGAUCCGUCGGGGUUUCGUCUCCCUGCGAAUCUAGGAGACUACUUUAUUGGCCCGGGCUUAGAGCAACUGAUCCAACAGCUUGCUGAAAACGAUCCUAAUCGAUAUGGCACCCCCCCUGCGUCAAAAUCUGUGAUUCAGAACCUACCUAACAUCAAGAUUACUAGUGAUCUGUUGGAGUCAGAUUAUUCUGAUUGUGCGGUGUGUAAAGACAGCUUUGAGCUUCAUGAGCAGGCCAAGCAGUUGCCGUGUAAGCACGUUUAUCAUCAGGAUUGCAUCGUACCGUGGUUGGAGCUACAUAACUCGUGUCCUGUUUGUCGGUAUGAGUUACCCACUGAUGACCAGGAGUAUGAGAACAGGUCUCGCGAAGGUUCUACUGGUGGAACUUUGGGUGCUGCAGGGCCAGGGGUGGCUUCUGGCAGUGGUGAUCCUCAGGAGAAUCCCAAUACCCCAAAUAGUAUGGAAAGGAGGUUUAGGAUUAACUUGCCUUGGCCUUUUACUGGGUUUGGCACAUCUGCCGAGUCAAGCAAUAGUGGAGCAGGUAACAACAACUCAGGCAAUUCCAACUCAGGAAGUGGUGGUCAGGCAAGACAGGAAGAUCUUGGCUGAUGAUCGUGGAAUGAAGGAAGAAUGGACCAUUGGAGUGGUUGGUUGAACAUACAAUACUACUGCGAAUUCUGCAUCUUCUUCUUCUUAUAGAAGUCUUUUCAUUCUAUACAAAAUCAAAACAACUAGCAAGCAAGAUGCUAGCAAUUACAAAGUACAAACAAAUUUUGGGCUACAAGACCAAGCAACCCAAUCCACACAUUGAAAUUUUGCUAUAUGUUUUGAUCAAGUAAAAAUACUAGCUUGGAUUUUAUCCGCUACUUUCAUAGGUGUUGUUUUUGAUUAAUUGAACACCAACGCAUUCGUAGCCUUUCAAAUGUGAAAAAUAAUCGAGUAAAAUACUAGCUUGAAUUU